RNAcentral lists this ribosomal RNA (1403 nucleotides) under metagenome. Its description in RNAcentral is "bacterial LSU rRNA". It matches the Rfam family "Bacterial large subunit ribosomal RNA", at positions 1507 to 2881 of the family's 2925-position model. The record is from RNAcentral.
UCUGGUCAAGCACGCAGCCAGUCAUGUAGGCAAAUCCGCAUGGCGCGCAUGGCGAGGUGUGAUGAUGGGAGCCGUUAUGGCUCGAUAUCCGGUUGUCCAGGCCGUCGAGAAAAGCCUCGGCGUGAGGGCCAUGGCCGCCCGUACCCCAAACCGACACUGGUGGUCAGGUAGAGAAUACCAAGGCGAUCGAGCGAAUCCUGGUCAAGGAACUCGGCAAAUCACUCCCGUGCCUUCGGUAUAAGGGAGACCCGCUGGGGUGAACCGGCUAGCCCGGGGAGCUUUGGUGGGUGGCACAGACCAGGGGGUAGCGACUGUUUACCAAAAACACAGGUGCAUGCGAAGGCGAAAGCCGCUGUAUAUGCACUGACGCCUGCCCGGUGCCGGAAGGUUAAGAGGAUCCGUCAGUCCCUUCGGGGACGAAGCGGUGAAUUCAAGCCCCGGUAAACGGCGGUGGUAACUAUAACCAUCCUAAGGUAGCGAAAUUCCUUGUCGGGUAAGUUCCGACCUGCACGAAUGGCGUAACGACUUCCCCACUGUCUCGACCAGGAGCUCGGCGAAAUUGCAGUACGAGUAAAGAUGCUCGUUAAGCGCAGAAGGACGAAAAGACCCCGGGACCUUUACUAUACCUUGGUAUUGGCGUUAGGCGCGGAUUGUGUAGCAUAGGCGGGAGGCUUCGAAGCGGGUGCGCCAGCAUUCGUGGAGCCGCAAGGUGAAAUACCGCUCUGUUCUCGUUUGACGUCUAACCUCGACAAGUCAUCCUUGUCAGGGACAGUGCCUGGCGGGUAGUUCAACUGGGGCGGUUGCCUCCCAAAGAGUAACGGAGGCGCUCAAAGGUCCGCUCAGCCCGGUUGGCAAUCGGGUGUCGAGUGUAAUCGCACAAGCGGGCUUGACUGCGAGGACGACGGUCCGAGCAGGGACGAAAGUCGGAGAUAGUGAUCCGGUGCCGGCGCACGGGCGCGGCAUCGCUCAACGGAUAAAAGGUACCCCGGGGAUAACAGGCUGAUCAUUCCCAAGAGUCCAUAUCGACGGGAUGGUUUGGCACCUCGAUGUCGGCUCGUCGCAUCCUGGGUCUGGAGCAGGUCCCAAGGGUUCGGCUGUUCGCCGAUUAAAGCGGCACGCGAGCUGGGUUCAGAACGUCGUGAGACAGUUUGGUCUCUAUCCUCUGCGCUCGUUGGAAUCCUGAGGAGGCCUGCCCAUAGUACGAGAGGACUUGGGUGGACGAACCUCUGGUAUGCCGGUUGUCGCGCCAGCGGCACGGCCGGUUGGCUACGUUCGGGAGGGAUAACCGCUGAAAGCAUCUAAGCGGGAAGCCUGCUCCAAGAUUAGGAUUCCAUGGAUCUUCGAGAUCCUGUAGCCCGCAUGUUGAACACGUGUUUGAUAGGCCGGAGGUGGAAGCCCCGCGA